Phalacrocorax carbo (great cormorant) is the source of this 6223-nucleotide non-coding RNA. The record is from RefSeq and is a predicted model, not a curated record. NCBI's taxonomy places the organism in Eukaryota, Metazoa, Chordata, Aves, Suliformes, Phalacrocoracidae.
GGGGUGGGCCGGGAGGGACGAUUGUGACACUGGAGGGAAUGUUUACUUGUGCAGAAGUCUUUCUCGUGGAAACACGCUGCUCCCUAACUCCUGGCUAAGCAGACUUCAGUUCACCAACUUUGCUGCCGUACAGCACGUGUAACUCCUUGACAGGAUGGCAGACAAAAGAACAGCUGGUGCAAAGCAAUAGGGGAUUCGUAGCAAGGAGGAGGAAAGAAAAUCACAAACCUUUCGCCCGCACCGCUGACGUCCGACGCUUGCCAGAGCAGCAGUUGCAACGGGACGAGCUGAAGCCACCAUGCGCAGGUCUAGCACCGAUGAGUCGACCUAUCACAGGAGCCCUUCCCUGGACAGCAAGGAUUACAGUUUCCCAAAUGGCGCCUUUCGUCGCUACAGCAGCAUGUAUGGUGGCCAGUUUGGGGCUGCCAGCAACUCUUUUUUUGGAUUCCACACCAACCCAGGCCCGAAGGCCACCAAGGCUAAGUACACGUCCCCCAAGGGGAACAAGUACGUUGUCUUUUACCUGGAUCUCUCAUUUAUUUUUCUCCUAGAACUGAAGAGGUGCAGCAUGGCUCACAACUGCCUGCAGUGUAUCAAGUACCUAAUGUUUGUCUUCAACCUUCUCUUCUGGUUGGGAGGCUGUGGAAUCCUUGGAGUUGGCAUCUGGCUGGCUGUUACCCAAGGGAACUUUGCCACCCUCUCCUCUUCUUUCCCGUCUCUGUCAGCUGCCAACCUACUGAUCGUCACAGGGACAUUUGUCAUGAUCAUUGGCUUCGUGGGCUGCAUAGGCGCCAUCAAAGAAAACAAGUGCCUCCUGCUGAGUUUUUUUAUCAUGCUGUUAAUUAUAUUUCUGUUGGAGCUCACUGUUGUGAUUCUGUUCUUCGUCUACACUGACAAGAUUGACACGUACGCUCAGCAGGAUCUGAAGAAAGGGCUUCAUUUGUAUGGGACAGAUGGAAAUAUCGGCCUAACUAAUGCAUGGAGCAUCAUUCAAACAGAUUUCAGAUGCUGUGGCGUCUCUAACUACACUGACUGGUUUGAAGUGUAUAAUACAACCCGGGUGCCAGACUCCUGCUGCUUAGAGUUCAGUGAGAACUGUGGACUCCAUUCCCCAGGGACAUGGUGGAAAGCGCCUUGCUACGAAACAGUGAAAAUAUGGCUCCAGGAAAACUUACUAGCAGUGGGAAUCUUUGGAUUGUGCACAGCUAUGGUGCAGCAUCUGAUGGCUGCCUUUCAUGGAGAAGUCAACUCUCCCGUGCUCUCACUGUUCAUUCUGUAAAACAGCAACGCAGAUAAGAACCAAAGGCAGACAGAAACUAGGAACAGAAUAAGGACAUGAGCUGGCAGGAAAAGCAGUAUGUUGUAUGUCUUCCUGUGUGUGAACAAAACCAGUAUUCUUGGACUCACAUUUGCGAUGACCAUGUAUUGUCAGGUAGUCAAGGCAGACACCUACUGUGCAUAGAUACCAUUCCCAAUCUUUCUGCUCCUCCUCCAAAGGACACAGGAGAAAUCUCCUUCGUGCUUAUUCAUCUGACCUUCCCCCCUCCCCUUUGUACUAUAAACUGUGUAUAAUGCUAUCUUUCUGAAGAUUUUGUGAAUCACCCCACUCUACCGAAGGAGGAAGAAAAGAAAAAGUCAGUACUUGAACUGGCACAGGUAAGAAGCAGCCUUGUCUUUAAGCAGAAGAAAGCCUCCAAAGAGCAACGGUUCCUGGCCUAUAGCAAAGGCAAAGGGGGCUGCUUACGAGGGACCGAUCUGCAAACUGAUAUUAGGAAAAGAUUGCACUGAGGCAACCUCUGUGAAACCUGCCAGGUUGCCUUUCCGCAUUUCACGGUCUGGAAGAGAGGGCAUAGAAAAUGCAUAGUCUUCAGGAUGGAAAGAAAGUACAGAGUAGCUAGCACUGAAUGCAAUUGUAAUUUUACUACAGUUUGCGCACCGCUAAAGUGUCAAGAUCAAGCAGCCCUGCCUCCAAGUGUCUCAAGAUGAUUUUGUAGCCAGGAGAGGAUCAUCUUCAGAAACAUGUUAUUUUAAAGGAGUACUUUUAAUCUUAUGCACUGCAAAGUCAGGCUUUUAAUCAGAAUCUGUACAGUGAGAUCUGGCUGUUACGGGAAAACAAUAUUGGACAUUGUCUCACUUAUUAAUUGCCAGUGGCAUAUAGAUGUUGACCAUAUAUGUAAUAUAUAUUACAUUCAUAUACACACACUGUUCUGAAAGGAGGUGAAAAUACCCAGCAUCUAAACUCAGAAAGAGGGAACCUUUCCAUCCCAUUUUACAUUCCAACUGAAAUAACCAAGUAUUAUUUCUUGUAGGAGGCACUAUCACUUAUACCUCUGGGAAACAAGUAAUUACUUUCAGCUGUAUCUUCAUUUCAGUAAACAACUUGUGAGUGGGCUCUCUCUGUCAUUCUACUGUGGUUUUAUUUUUUUAUCAUCCCUGUUUCAUGUUAGUCUGCCAAAAAAUAUCACUCAUUUCCACACCUGAAGAGCUGUCAGCUGUUCUUUCCCUGAAUGUCACCAUUUCAUUAAUUUACUUUGGGAUAUCAUCAUCUGCAGGUAUGAUAGAGUUUGCCUUGCUGAGGAAAAAUCUUUUGCACAUUGCUCAUUUUUCUGAGAGUUAUUAAGACUUCAGAUGUUUUUAUGCUUAGCGGUUUUUUUUCCCCAGCUGCAUGCUUGCAACAGCCAAGACAGAGUCUUUGUUAGAACUGGAGUUACCUCUCAGUUCUGUUUUUCAGACCCAUCUCCCUCCGCCUGGAUGUUGGCUAGAAUAUGCCACACACUUUCUGGAAUUUGCAGAAAUCAAAAUCAUAACUUUCCUUAGCCAUUAAAAAAAAAAAAAGACACACAGCAAACAAAAACCACCAAAACACCAGUUGUCUGAUUUCCCCACCCUGCAUUGGUAACUGAAGUAAUUUAUGUAGUACCUUUCUGUGCACACCUUCUAGCGAUGACAUUAAGAAUCAGAUGUCUCCUAUUGUGCAAACAAACAAUUCCCCAUCAGCAAGAGGCUGCAGAUAAUGCACAUGUGAUGGCAAGAAGCUGAAGCACCCCAGGGAAAGGACACAGCAGGGAGCAGGGAAACAAAGCAAUGCAGCUGGCCUGCUCGCUGCAGCCAGCCUUUGAGGACCUCUCAGCCACCAACAACAGACCACAGACACAACCACAGUGCCCUGUUUUCCCAGAAAGCUCAAUGCAGCCAUUCUUACUGUGACAGACUAGAAGAAUGCAUCAAGUUCAGGCAAAAAAAAGUUACCCUGUACCUUUAGUGCUUACAACAGCCGGUCUCAGCUAUGAGUGACAUUUUGCUUACUUUGAUUUAAAGGCAAUUUCCAGCAGUAAAGCUGGACUUACCAGCCCACAGCCUAUUGAACAAGCUCCUUAACACCCGUAAGUAACCCUGUUCUGGAGCUGCACCAUUGACAAAUACUACCCUCACUGCUUAGGUUUUGGGGGUGGUUUCUUUUUUUUUUUCUUUUUUUUACCUCUUUGUUGAUUUCCUGCAGUCUUCUCACCCUCGGGCCCGAACUACAUGUUUUGCAGGGAAGUGCUUAGGACAGUCUGGUGUGUGAAAAAACAAGCAUCUUCCAAAAUCUUACCCCCCUACCUUUAUUCAUCAACCUCUGUAGCAUGGGGCAGUUAGCUGAGCAGGCUAAGUUGAAAGUAAUGUGCAUUUUUUGGUGGAUUCCCAGUCACUCACUAUCACAGCAACCUCACCACCACUAAAAGAUUUUAUUGCCAUGCUAACAAGCCUUGACAAAUGUUAACAGACCUUGACUAGGACAGACGUUAAACUGAGUGAAUACCCCACACACAAGUGCCCUGUACCCUAAGCAAGAGACUUACUCUUGGUGUUAAAAUCACAGCAGUCUCACUGCUCUCUGAGCCCAGGCUGACCUGUCAACAGUCGUGCUCUUCAAAAGGUGGUGUAAGGUCAUGCCUUCCCUCUCUCUGCUCUGUUCCUUUCUUACCUGCAAUAAACACGAUUACAGGUGAGAUGUACCAAUAAUUCUUGCCAUGGUUUAUAGUUUGUAUGCACAGGUGUUCCUGCUCACAGCUCAGAGUUUCCACCCCUGAAAAGCAGCAUAAUACAGUGAUGAAUACCUUAAUAAAACAUUGAUUUUUUUUUUUUUUUUUAAGAAAGAUAAAAGGUAGACAAGUCUAUUUGUAGUGAUCCCUGCCAUUAAAAAUUAACAGAGGCAGCAGGCUGACGAUGGUUCAGUUGAUAAAAGCAAACCAUUGUGCAACAGAGCUCCCAGAGAGGGCAACUCUCAUCAAUUUGCCUGAUGGAAGCGUAGGGAGAAGAGAGAUCACAAACUCAUCCUGUGAGUCUCCCAGUAGUAUGUGCUGAGCUCUUAGAGAAGGCUGCUAGACUUCAGCUAAACCUACAGAAGAAACAAAAUGAGAAACAGCAACUGAACACAGCUCACACUUUGUGGGUCCUUUCAAUAAUUUUCCACAGUUUAGGGGUUUUUAUGACAAGCUAAACUGCCUCAGUUUUCAAUAACUCCUCUAUAGGGAGUAUAAGCAAUACUCACUUCGUAAAUCCCAGUCGCUGCAACAGAAAUGUACAGCACCAACUGCUGAAAAGAAAGGAAAAGAAAAAAAGAAAAAAACCAGACCACACAGAGCUGCUAAUAAUUCCUUUUUUUUUUUUUUUUUUUAAACACUACCCUUACACUGCCAGCUGAGCUGCUACUGCAACUUGUUUAUAAUUUGAACUGGACUAUUUUCUAUACUUGAUGUUAUUAACUCUCUUCACACAGGCCAAACAGAUGUUAUGGUGCUUAAGGCAUUACCAGCACAAUCCAAUUUCAAACCUCUGAACAUACUGCAUAUAACAAGCCUCAGACUUACCAUAUUUUCUUUUUGAAAUCAUUGCAUCCUUUCUCUGGUGACAAGGUCAGACUAUUUUGUGAUCUGUAACAGCAAGAAUCUUUUUUUAAAAACAAACAAAAAAAAAAGGGUAGUUCCACAUUAUGCAUAAAACUUUAUGCUGAACUGGCUGAUUAUAAACACCCUGUAGUACAUAAUACCCAUUUAAAAGGUUGCUUUACGUAUGCAGAGCAACACAGAAGUCAUUCCAAUUGCUUCCAUUAGUGUUCUGUCACUUUUCGUAAAGUCUUUUAUAUUAUUUUCACUUCUUAAGAUGAAGGACUCUAUACAUUUAAAUUAAAGACAGAACCAAAGGCAACAAAGACAUUGAAGGAUAGCACUCCUAAUUUACACUCACUGCUCUUCCUGCUUAGUAACAAGAUGUGAAGGCACAGGGUGCGUGGCUGGACCCACUCAAUUCAGCAACAUCAGGAUGAAGCUUUUUGAUUCAGUCUGAUUACUUCCCUCUUUUCAUGUUCACAAUUAUAAUAAUAUAUAUGUGUAUAUAUAUUUAAUAGAAUAUGGUUUAUUUUCCUGUACACUGUCAGUAGCAGCCAAAUAUUACUGCUUGUACAACAGGAUUAUUUAGCUCCACAUUUUAUAGUGCACACUCACUGAAAUUCACUCCAGUUUCUGUUCUACGAAUACUUCUUUGUUCCUCCCCCUCAAAGAAUAUGAACUCCUAAAGGUUUAUUCUUCCAUUUAAUAAUUACCAUUUGAAUGCAGCAUUGUAUGAUUUAAAAUAUGGAGAGGAAGGAACUGCACAGAUAUUGUAAAAAUAUUUUAUCUUGCAUCAGCAAUACGGCUGCUAUGUGAAUCCACCCCAAACCCCUCACUUCUGGCAAAUAAUUAAGAACUCUACGCCUUUCAGUGCGCGUGGCUCCCGCUGCCUCUCCCCCCACUCACAGCUAGGGUAGGAGGCUGCUAGCACAGAGAAAGUCAAAGCCAUUCACUUACCCUUAGCUUCAUUGUCGUGCUAUAGAUGUGGCACCAACGGUAAGCAACAGAAACCAGCAGUUGAUUGUGACGUUUAUUUUAAAACCAGACUCCUCAUUAACUUUGUCUGCAAAGAUUCUUGCUAAGUGUGAAUGAUCUUACUAGAUACCGCGUUAGGCAAUCCACAGUAAGAAAACAGGUCAGGACUUGCCAUGGGAAAUUUUGUUUGGAUUCCAUUGUGAAUUCUCCUAGAUUGUCACUGGUACCUUACCGCAGUGGGCAGGUCUCCUCAGUUCCUUGGAAUUUUGUCACUGCAGCUACAAUGAAACGUUUUUGUGCAUUCAUAGAAUGAACAAAAUUUAAGAUACAAGUUUUAUUUUUCAAAAUUUAUUAAAUAUUCUUUAAAGUUUACAACAGAA